AUACCAGCACCCCGAGUGGUCGGGACGAUUAUUGGGCCUAAAGCAUCCGUAGCUUGUUUUGCAAGUCUUCCGUUAAAUCCACCUGCUCAACAGAUGGGCUGCGGGGGAUACUACAGGGCUAGGAGGCGGGAGAGGCAAACGGUACUCAGUGGGUAGGGGUAAAAUCCUCUGAUCCACUGAAGACCACCAGUGGCGAAGGCGGUUUGCCAGAACGCGCUCGACGGUGAGGGAUGAAAGCUGGGGGAGCAAACCGGAUUAGAUACCCGGGUAGUCCCAGCUGUAAACGAUGCAGACUCGGUGAUGGGUUGGCUUUGAGCCAACCCAGUGCCGCAGGGAAGCCGUUAAGUCUGCCGCCUGGGGAGUACGGUCGCAAGACUGAAACUUAAAUGAAUUGGCGGGG
RNAcentral lists this ribosomal RNA (400 nucleotides) under uncultured bacterium. Its description in RNAcentral is "partial 16S ribosomal RNA". It matches the Rfam family "Archaeal small subunit ribosomal RNA", at positions 473 to 873 of the family's 1478-position model. The record is from RNAcentral.